Molecule: unclassified non-coding RNA, 253 nt
Filed under: uncultured Bacteroidia bacterium
Lineage: Bacteria; Pseudomonadati; Bacteroidota; Bacteroidia
Description: contains 16S-23S intergenic spacer region
Rfam family: Bacterial small subunit ribosomal RNA
Source: RNAcentral
UACGGAGGGUCCAAGCGUUAUCCGGAUUUAUUGGGUUUAAAGGGUGCGUAGGCGGAAUAUUAAGUCAGUGGUGAAAGCCUGCAGCUUAACUGCAGAAUUGCCAUUGAUACUGAUAUUCUUGAGUAUAGUUGAAGUUGGCGGAAUGAGUCAUGUAGCGGUGAAAUGCAUAGAUAUGACUUAGAACACCUAUUGCGAAGGCAGCUAACUAAACUAUCACUGACGCUGAGGCACGAAAGCGUGGGGAGCGAACAGG